GACGAACGCUGGCGGCGUGCCUAACACAUGCAAGUCGAACGAAGCUAUGUUGAAAAUAAUCCUUCGGGAGGAAAUAAGUAUAGCUUAGUGGCGGACGGGUGAGUAACGCGUGAGUAACCUGCCUUUCAGAGGGGGAUAACGUUCUGAAAAGAACGCUAAUACCGCAUAACAUAUUUGGGUCGCAUGGCUUGAAUAUCAAAGGAGCAAUCCGCUGAAAGAUGGACUCGCGUCCGAUUAGCUAGUUGGUGGGGUAAAGGCCUACCAAGGCGACGAUCGGUAGCCGGACUGAGAGGUUGAUCGGCCACAUUGGGACUGAGACACGGCCCAGACUCCUACGGGAGGCAGCAGUGGGGGAUAUUGCGCAAUGGGGGAAACCCUGACGCAGCAACGCUGCGUGAAGGAAGAAGGUUUUCGGAUUGUAAACUUCUUUUGUUAAGGACGAAAAAUGACGGUACUUAACGAAUAAGCUCCGGCUAACUACGUG
This 484-nucleotide ribosomal RNA is filed under the name uncultured bacterium. Its description in RNAcentral is "bacterial SSU rRNA". It matches the Rfam family "Bacterial small subunit ribosomal RNA", at positions 28 to 507 of the family's 1533-position model. The record is from RNAcentral.